UUGUAGGUUGCUCUGAAUUACCUGCUGGAUAAGUUGGGUGGGGACUACUCGAAAACGGUAGGUGUGAUUGAUCUUGGAGGUGGGUCCGUGCAAAUGGCAUAUGCCAUUUCUCCUGCCACCGCUGUUGCCGCUCCAGGAGUGCCUCACGGCAAGGAUCCUUAUGUUACAAAAGAGUAUCUCAAGAGAAGAGAUUACAACGUUUAUGUUCACAGCUACUUACGCUACGGCGCCUUAGCUUCUCGCGUAGAGAUCUUCAAGGCUAAGGAAGGACCAUUUAGCUACUGCAUGCUUCGUGGCUUCAGUGGCAAAUACACCUACAACGGUGAGGAGUACAAUGCUACCGCGUCAACGGGAGGUGCACAAUACGGGAAGUGCAGAGGUGAUGUAAUGAAGGCACUCAAACUUGAUGCUCCUUGCCAAGCCAAGAAGUGCACCUUCGACGGCGUGUGGAACGGCGGGGGCGGCCCCGGCCAGGCCAACCUCUAUGUCGCAUCUAGCUUCUACUACAUGGCCUCGCAGGUUGGCCUCAUCGACAGUGAUGCACCAAGCGGGACGUCCACCCCAAUGGCUUUCAGAGCCGUUGCCUAGAAGAUAUGUAGAAUGAGCUUGAAAGAAGUGAAGGCUAAGUACCCCAAGGUCCGCGACAUACCCUACGUUUGCAUGGACCUCGUCUAUCAAUACUCCUUCCUCGUCGAUGGGUUUGGUUUGGAACCCACCAAGAAUAUUACACUCGUGGAGAAGGUGAAGCAUGGCCUCUUGGAGAAGCUAUUGAGGCCGUGGCACCCAAAAAGGGGACUUGACAAUAGAUGUCCCAUGAUACGCUUGGCUUCGCUUACAAUUAUUGCUCUUUUUGAUAAAGGGAACUUUUAUUAUCUCAAGAUAUAG
This 885-nucleotide ribosomal RNA is filed under the name Triticum aestivum (bread wheat). RNAcentral describes it as "partial small subunit ribosomal RNA". The record is from RNAcentral. Lineage: Eukaryota; Viridiplantae; Streptophyta; Magnoliopsida; Poales; Poaceae.